UACGUAGGGUGCAAGCGUUAAUCGGAAUUACUGGGCGUAAAGCGUGCGCAGGCGGUUGUGCAAGACAGAUGUGAAAUCCCCGGGCUCAACCUGGGAAUUGCAUUUGUGACUGCACGGCUAGAGUGUGUCAGAGGGGGGUAGAAUUCCACGUGUAGCAGUGAAAUGCGUAGAGAUGUGGAGGAAUACCGAUGGCGAAGGCAGCCCCCUGGGCUAACACUGACGCUCAUGCACGAAAGCGUGGGGAGCAAACAGG
This 253-nucleotide ribosomal RNA is filed under the name uncultured bacterium. RNAcentral's name for it is "partial 16S ribosomal RNA". It matches the Rfam family "Bacterial small subunit ribosomal RNA", at positions 524 to 776 of the family's 1533-position model. The record is from RNAcentral.